CUCACACAUGAGAUCAUCACACUGGUGCCCCGCCGUAUGUUAUUAAAUUGUCCCCGUUCACAGCAUAUUCCAGAAAACACUUUCAGCUAGAGUGCUAACACUUGCAGUUAGGGAGUAGGUCAGAGUGACAAGAGUCCAAGAAGACAGCUGAGUCAUCCUGGGUGGAAUAUAUAAAGUCCCUGUGCUGCACUAGGACAGAGGUAACGCUUCCUCUGAGCUCCCAACCUCUUCAACAAACAUCAAAAGGUAGGACUGAAAUGGAGAGUGGGAACACUCAUUUACAGCAGACCAAAACUCAUCCGCUCCAGCUAAAGUCUUCAGGGAAUAGUUUUAUGGCUAAAGCAAAAAAAAGGUCAUACCAAGAGCCAAAUUAAUUAAAAUGAAGAGAGAACUUUUGAAAAGAAAUAAUGAAUAAGCUUUUGGAUUAUUUGAUAAUCAAAUUAACGAAGAGGAGUAAAUUAUAUCAACACACUGAAAAAAGAUAUCAAUUUCUUGCUGACUUGACAAGAAAUACCAACAUUGAUUAAGAUAACAUAAAAUUCAUAAUAUGCUACUACAGACGGGGCAUUGUUAGCAAACUGGGUGAGGGUUGUAAAUGCAAGAGUAUUUGAAAUUCGUCACUGCUUGAGUAAAAUGGAAAUGCCCAGAAAUCUUACCAUUUGUCAUAUAAAGAAGUAACCAAAAGAGCCAAGAACAUACAAUGGGGAAAGGACAGUCUCUUCAAUAUAUCGUCUUGGGAAAACUGGACAGCCAUGUGCAAAAGAAUGAAACUGGACCACUAUCUUACACCACACACAAAAAUUAACUCAAAAUGGAUUAAAACUUGAAUGUAAGACCUAAAACCAUAAAAUUCCUAGAAGGAAACAUAGGCUCCUUGACAUCAGUCUUGGCAACGAUUUUUGGGAUCUGACUCCAAAAGCAAAGGCAAUAAAAGCAAAAUAAAGUAGGAAUACAUCAAACUAAAAAUCUUCUACACAGCAGAGGAGAUCACCAACAAAAUAAAAAGGUAAUCUACUGAAUGGGAGAAAAUAUUGGCAAGUCAAAUCUCUCAUAAGGGAUUAAUAUUCAAAAUAUAUAAAGAACUCAUACAACUCAAUAGCAAAAAAACAAUCCAAUUAAAAAAUGGGCAGAGGAUCUGAAUAGACAUUUUUCCAAGGAAGAAAUAUAGGUGGCCAACAGGUACAUGAAAAGAUGCUCAACAUCACUAAUCAUCAGGGAAAUGAAAAUCAAAACCACGGUGAAAUAUCACCUCACACUGGUUAGAAUGGCUAUUAUCAAAAAGACGAAAAAUAACAAGUUUUGGGAGGAUGUGGAGAAAAGGGAAUCCUUGUGCACUGCUAAUGGGAAUAUAAAUUGGUGCAGUCAAUAUGGAAAACAUAAUGGGGGCUUCUCAAAAAGUUAAAAAUAGAACUACCAUAUGAUCUAGAAAUUCCACUUCUGGGUAUUUGAAGAAAACAAAACACUAACUUGAAAAACUGUAUGCACCCCCAUGUUCAUUGCAGCAUUAUUUACAGUAGCCAAGAUAUGGAAGCAACUUAACUGUCCAUUGGUGGAUGAAUGGAUAAAGAAUGGAUAAAGAAGAUGUGGUAUAUAUAUAUAUAUAAUGGAAUAUUAUUCAGCCAUAAAAAAGAGUGAAAUCUUGCCAUUUGAAACAAUAUGGAUGGACCUUGAGGGCGUUAUGCUAAGUGAACUAAGUCAGACAGAGAAAGAACAAACACUGUAUGAUCUCACUUAUAUGUGGAACUUAAAAGACAAAACAAAACAAAAACCAAGCUCAUAGAAACAGAGAACAGAUUGGUGGUUGCCAGGGGUUGAAGGGUGAAAUGAGUGAAAGGAGUCAAAAGGUACAAACUUACAAUCAUAAAAUAAAAAGUCAUGGGCCUGUAAUGUACAGCAUGGUGACUAUAAUUAAUAAUACUGUAUUGCAGGUUUGAAAGUUGCUAAGAGAAUAAAUCUCAAAAGUCUUCAACACAAGAAAAAGAAUUUUAGUAACUGUAUGGUGCUGAUGUUAACUAGACUUAUUAUGGUGAUCAUUUCACAAUAUAUAUAAAUAUCAAAUAAUUAUUUUGUACACCUAAAACUAAUAUAAUGUGAUAAGUGAAUUAUACCUCAAUUUUUUUAAAAAAAGUAAUUAAGUGUAUGUAGCCAAAAAUGGUAUGAAAGUAUUAUUAUAGAGUUGCAUCAGGCAGUUAACGAAUUUGAAAAGUUAUAUUAUUUUGUGGAUUUUGUGAUGCCAGGGGAAUAUGUCAGGUUUUGGGGGUUAUUUUCUUUUUCCUUUUGCUGAGAAAGAUUAGCCCUGAGCCAACAUCUGUUGUCAAUCUUCCUCUUUUUUUGCUUGAGGAAGAUCAGCCCUGAGCUAACAUCUAUGCCAGUCUUCCUCUAUUUUAUGUGUGGGUUGCCACCACAGCAUGGCUGAGGAGUGGUGUAGGUCUGCGCCAGGGAUCCCAAGCUGUGAACCUGGACUGCUGAAGCAGAGCGCUCUGAACUUAACCACUAGGGCAUUGGGCCAGCUCCUAUGUCAGCUUUUUAAAAUGUGUAAUUUGUUGUGAUUUUCUUUCCUCAAUUGAAAUAAAUAUUCAUUUUAUAGCUAAUUCUGUAUUUGUAAUUUUCAUUAUUGUUUAAAAAUAAGAACUCCCAAAUUGUACAAGUUUCAAGCCCACAAAAUCUGGAUCUGUCCCUGGGUAAGGGAGAUAUGAAGGAUCAAAGGGAAGAAAUUCAGGGGUCUCCAUUCUGAGGGGCCUCAGUUGCCAGCUGACUUCUCCUCACAGCUGCUGAUGUGGCUUCCAUAGCCUGAGAGACCAGUGGAGUGCUGUGGACCUUUCACAGGUUCCCCACCUUUUCUCCCUUAUUUACUAGCACUAUUCAUGUGGUUACAGCAAUGGCUGUCUGCCACAACACUGAAUCGAGGAUGCUCUAUAGUAUGAAAUAGCUGUACAGGUGGCUUCAGGUAAAAGGUAAGCAGAGUGAUCAGUGCCAAAGUCAAAUGUGAGGAUAUUGCCUCUUGACACAUAAAAGAGCAUGCACGAGGCAGCAUAACGUAACGCCAAGGUGUUAGGAAAUAGGUAUUAACCAGAGGCAACUGCAGAAUUUCUAGGUAGGUUGGUUAUCUGUGUGAAAGGUGAAGAUAAGAGACAUAUAAACUGAGUUUGCAUAGCUAGCUCCAGCCUUUAUUUAAACUGUAUGUUACCUGGGGUGGCUCGCAGCAAGGGGCAUGCCAAUGAAGACUGUGUGGGCCAUGGGGUGGGUAAUGCACCUCUUUGCCCAUGCCGUCACGGGGGUCUGCCCUGACCCCUUGGCGUCUUGCAGCAAAAUAUCAGCUAGAGGCUGUAUUUGCUGCGGAAUUAUUUAGCUUGUUUUGUUUCAUCAAUCUCUUAAAACGGGCCACCAAACAUUUAAGAAUGUUGAAGUGCGUAUGAAUACAAAAGGUUGAGAACCACAAAACUAUAAGGGAACUCUUCUGAGUUCAGAUGUAAACUCUAACUUUGGAACAAUUAACCCCAGAGAAGCCUUCAGUCCACUCAAGGUUCUCUGUUCUCUAGUAAAUGAUGGACUUGACGAGAUCCUUCAACACAAAUUCCCUCAUCAUACAACUUGUGGGUCCAGGCAUGGUGCCUCCCACUGGGCACGUAAAGAACAGCAGGCAGGUACUUGAGCUUUUUAUCAGAGCUCAUUAAGCAGGAGGUGAGCACCUGUAUUGUGUGCACUAUGUGGUAAGUGCUUUGGGAAAGACAAGGCUGACAGGAAUCUAACUACGCUGACUCUGUUCUGGAAAGAACUGGAAGGAAAAGAGCUUUUGUUUUUUAUGGAAGUCAAAUCACUGCCUAAGAGAAAAGGAAUGGAAGGAAGAAAUUAUCCCAUGGUGAGAAUGGAGGUUAAUUGCUUAUUUCUUCCUCUGGGAUGCCUUUGCAAAGCAUGUAAUUCUUUUAUCUUCAGGGCCCUGACAUGUUUUAAUUAAUUUAUACUAACAUCCUAGUGUUUUAAUAUAUUUUUUCUUAUGAUAGAAAAAAAAUAUGCUUUAUAAGUGGCUUGGAGCCAUAGUGGGAACAAAAACGGAGAAUGGUGGAAAGGAUGUUAUGGCAGCUGCACACUUACUUGUCUCACUUCCUGAUUUUGCUGAAAAUCAGCUAAGAUUGCAUCCUUUCACCUUUACUCCAUUUUUUAAAAAAUCUGUUCCAUUUAAAAAUAAUCUUUAAAUAAGCAAUCCUACACUUUUAUUUAUUCAGACAAAAUCCUCAAAAGUUAUUUUUGAAAACCGAUUAAGGUUUAAGCUCCUACUUUUAAGAGACGAGCAUUUUUGCCAUGAGUUUCAAGGAGAGCUUAGAAACCUCCUUGAUAUUUGUAAAUCUCAGGGAGAUUGUCACAGUAGGAGCCAAACCAUAUCUUGGUUCGCAUAUAAUUUUCUGCACAGCUAAUAAGCUGGAACAGUUAAGAACUAAUCAUCGCGGCAUGGCUGUACCUGCUUUUCGAAGCUUGGCAGAAGAUAGCUGCAGCUUAAAGUACCAGAGGAGAGAAGAUGUAGUAUUAUUCCCUUUUAGAGAACAGGGACCAUUGAAGGAAAGAAUUAGAUAACUGUGUUUUCUGAAUUAUUUAUCUGGUGUCACAGAUGUCACAAGGCUUUUGGGGACGUUUUUGGUCAUUACUUAACGUGAGUGUUAAGAUGCACAGUCUAAAGGCUUUCCUAAUAAAAUUUAAGUCAUUCACUCUCCCUUCAAGGUUGGAAGAGGAGGGAACUUUUCUUGCUGCCAUUGCGUUCCACAGACGUGGGAAGUACAGCCAAGCAAAGAACCCGCAGAAGGAAAAAAGCUAGGCAUUUGCGAAGAAGUGGGGCCUGCGUUCCAUAUGGCUCGCCGGGGUGCAGAGCAGAUGGCCUGGGCAGCGUGCUCUAAGAGCCGACAGGAGCCAGCAGGCAGCCACUGAGCGUGCCCACCGAAGCCUGCCAUGUGAAAAGGCUUUCCAUCAGUUAGGGCAAGGAAAAGUGAUGAUUUUUAUGUUUAUGAUUCUCUGCUUUAUGCAUUUCUGGAGUGAAAUAAAAUGGCAGGAGGACAGGUGUGAGGAUAAGGUAGAAUAAUCUUUCGAUACGUCUACUGGUGCCGGAAGCCCAAGAAAACAGCUCUGGUUGCUAACGGAGGAGCCUAACGUGUCCCCAGUGAAAGCUGACUUUUGUGUAGUGCUUUAUGUGCCAGGCUUUUAAAAUGUCACAACCUUACUGGGUAGGUUUUAGUUUUGUUCCCAAUUUAAAAUGAGGAAAUGAGGCCCAAAGAGAGAUGCUUGAUCAAUGGUCCUCAGUGAGGCGGAGAGCCAUUCCUGACCUCAGUGUUCACGCAUAGCCGUGACUUCAGGCUACUUCUCCGGGAGAUGUGGACUUGCUGAAGAGCAGGUCCCCUUCUCUGUUAUACAUAUAGAGGGAAGGACAGAAGUCAUUCAUUCAAUCAACAAACAUUUACUGCCUGUCUGCAAUGUGCCAGGUGCCAUCAAGACCAAGUGGAUAUUUGAGGUGUGAGGACUCAGAAGGAUUUACAACCCAGUGAUUCGCAAUAAAAAAAUUUUCCUCCUCUAGAGAAUUCACUUUCACACCCCUUCGAAGUUAAUAUUUUAACAAGAACAGUGCCAUCAUAGUGCUCUGCUCUGCGGUUUGCGAUGGCUUGCUGUGGCAUUCUGGUGCCCUCUCGGGCCUUGCCCUCCGUCCUCAGGGACAUGUGCCUUCUGCGCCCCUCAAACUGGGGCACAUCCUGCUCCUCCCAACACGCCCAACACCUGCCUUCUUCGGCUUCUCUGAUGAUUCUCUUCCAUCUGCCUGGAACAAAUCACCUCUCACCUCAAAAUCCGUCUUGUCCAACUUAAACACAAACUUCCUCCACAAAACUGUCUCAGGACUCUGCCCAUACGCCACACCCAGAAGCUCUGCCCUCCCUGGGGACGUGCAGGACGCCUCGUCCACACCUCUCGGGACAUUGGGUACAUUUUGUCUGCACUGUGAUCAUUUUGUACUGGUCUUACCAACCCUUCUUGCCUGGGAGCUUUUGGGGGGAAGUCCUUUAGUUCAUCCAUCUUUGUGUACCCCAGGAUCUAGCAAUGGGUUGAAUAGAUGGCUGAAUAGGUAAUUUUCCUUGAACACAGUUCUUCUGUAUAUUAAAUCCAGAACCCUGGUUUUUAACCCUGUGGUGAAAAACCAAAUCAUGCCAGAUCGUGAGAAAGAACGUCAUUAUCAAAGGCCAAUCAGAGAUGGAUAACUUUCUCCUGGAACAUUAUGAUAGACAGUUUCUGAAAAGCAGGUGCCACAAAUGGGGAAAUUUUCAGUCUUUUUAGCAAAAUGUAUUGAUUUUUUUCAGAAUGGCAGUGAUUUUCCGUUUAUCCAAGCCUUAUUGCUACAGCUGUUGCUUUUCCAACCUCUCAGCCUCCGUCAUGCCCUCCGAGUUCUGGCAUUCGUCACCUCUGUCCUGUUUUCUUGCAUCACUCCUCAGCUGGGCUCUCUGACUACUGACUGUCUACUAUCAACCACCUCCCUUCACGCUAGAACGUGGUAUUUCUAAAAUAUCACUCUGAAGAGGCAAGAGGCCAUAGCGGUUAAGAGGCCAGACUCUGCAGUCAAUGACACUCAGGUCUGUGUCUCUCUGUGGCCACCCACUAGCUCUGUGACUUUGGACAAAUUACUUCUCCAAGCCUCAUUUUUCUCUUCCACAGUAUUGAAGAAAACAACUCUACUGUCUCAUAGCAUUGUUGUGAAAACUUCUCAUGCAAAAUGCUCAAGUAGCAUGCCUGGCAUAAAGUCUCGACUACUGAAUGCUAUCAUUUUAAUGUCAUUCCUUUGCUUUAAAAAACGAAGAAGAAGAAAAAACUUUAAGUGGAUUCUAAUAGGUUGCAAUAUAAAAUAGCCGAGUCUUGGCUUGGAAUAUAAAAAUAUAAAAUCCUUCCUCUUCCAGCCUCGUUCUAUCCUUACAGCAUGAUUUCCCGCUCCUUCCUUUUAUGUAAGCCCUCCCUUCAGCCAUAAAGAAUUUUUCAAUGUUCCGUGUCAUUCGCUUUCACACCCAUGAAUAUAUUGGUCUCUCUGACUGAAAUUCUCCUGAGCCCACCUGUUAAACUCCUCCAUCCUUCAAGAAUCAAGUACAAGCUCCUUUGUGAAGUCUCCUUAUCACCCCAGACAGAGUUAAGUCCCCCAUUUUGCUCCCAAAGCAUGCUAUUCUUAUUUCUGUUACAGUAAGUUUCGUAUGGCAUUGCCAUUGUUUAUCUUUUUCUCAUUAAUUUAUAACCUCUUCUAAGAACGUGGCUUAUUAAUGUCUGGUUAGAUAACACUAGUAGAAGUGCCUGGCAUAGAGUAAACUUGCAUAAAUAUUUGCAAAAUGAAUUAACAAAUGAAUAAAUCCAGGAACCAAAGGAAUCAUUCUUUGUGGAAGAAAGAUAUGAAGUCAGCUACCAUGCCUUGGGCCCAACUAUUUCACUUAUAAAAUGAAAUGACAAAAUAUAUACAUGCACUUGAAUGCACAGAGAAAUAAACAGUAAAUAAUAAAGGAGACAAUUUCAUAUCAGGGAAUGGUUUUAGAAAAUAGUGCGCUUUCUGUGCUUGCUCAGCUCAUCUUCUAAAGCCUUUCUUCACAUCUACAGUAAGUUCUGGGCAGUCAAAGUUCAUGAUGGUGACCUGGAGCCCUUAUAAGUCAAAACCCAUUUUCUGGUUACCUUUCUAUUGAAAAGACAUUCAGUCUAUUACAAUAGUCCAAUUCUUGGUCCAUCAGAGCUUACUAUAAUAAGAAAGCCAAUAGGCGUUAUACUUCUGAGACUCAUAAAAGCAAAUAAUCCUAGACAAAGGAAAACCUUUAUGCCCAAAGAUUUACUUUGCGUUAUUGCAUUUAACAACAACAAAAAAUAACAAACAAGCUAAAUGUCUAAAAUAUAAUGAUGUUAAGUACACUACGGCACAUUUAUUCAGUGGAAUUCUGCUUUUUCGAAUCACGUUGUCAGUGUGCAUGUAGUAUAAUGGGAAAACACUUACAAUAUAUUAAUUUUUAAAAUCAAGGUAUAUAACUGCAAAUUGACAAGGAUCACAACCAUGUAAUAAAAAUAAUGUAUAGACAAAAUACUGUAAAAAAUACAUCAAAUAUUAAUAAUAUUUGGGUAGUAGAGCCGUAAUUUUCUUUUCAGUGAGAAAGAUUGUCCCUGAGCUAAUAUCUGUGCCAAGUUUCCCCUGUUUUGUAUGUGGGCUGCCACCACAGCAUGGCUUGGCGAGCGGUGUGUAGGUCUGCACCCAAGAUACGAACUUGCGAACCACAGGCUGCCAAAGCGAAGCUCACGAUCUCAACCACUAUGCCCCUGGGCUGGCCCCCCAUAAGUUUUUUUUUUUUUACUUUUUUAGUAAUUUUCAAAUGUUCUGUAAUGAAAUCUAUUUUUAUUUUAAAAAUAUCACUUAAUUUUUUUAACCUAAAAGCAUACUUUGAUGGAUUAACCCUGCCAACUCAAACCAUUAGGCCAAUUUAAUCCAAUGUACAUUAGAAGUCUUGAUGACUCACUCAGCCUUCUUAAAAAGUUGCUCUACCAUAUUAGCUAAGCUUUUGUUUCCAUUCAGCAGGCUUCAACGGAGCACCUAUUGUGUGAAGUCUUUGUGUUAGGCACGGGGUUGGGAGAGAAAAGAUACAACGAUAAUACACACUGUCUCACAGUGGGCACUUCGCACUCCAGGUAUUCCCCAGGAAACCGUGAAGAGGAAACUGGGACAGUGGAUAUUCCUGACAACUAUUAGCCCUGAGCUAGCAUCUGUGCUCAUCUGCUAUUUUAUGUGUGGGAUGCCUGCCACAGCAUGGUUUGGAUUGAUUCAGGAAGUAAAACGAGGCAAUAGAAAAGCAAAGACUGACUCUCACAACUAGCCCUUCUUUCCAGUAACUGAGAUCCUUCCUUCAGAGAUAUUCCUUUUAAUUCCAAACUGUGAACAUUGCAGCAGCUGGAGAAAGCAAGAGUGCUUAAAAGACUUGUCAGAGAUUAAAUAAAGGAUAUAGGUGGGGGCUGGCCCCGUGGCCGAGUGGUUAAGUUUGCGUGCUCCGCUGCAGGCGGCCCAGUGUUUCGUUGGUUCGAGUCCUGGGCGCAGACGUGACACUGCUCAUCAAACCACGCUGGGGCGGCGUCCCACAUGCCACAACUGGAAGCACCCACAGCGGAGAAUAUACAACUAUGUACCGGGGGGGGGCUUUGGGGAGAAAAAGGAAAAAAUAAAAUCUUUAAAAAAAUAAAAUAAAAAAUAAAGGAUAUAGGUGGCAAUCUCAUACAGGAAAGAGAACAAGCUUAUUUUAAGUGAAUAUUUCCAAAAGUUCAGUUAUUGUUUUAGCACCUUUGCUAGUACAUACUAUUUCCAUCAACAAGUAUGCCAAAAUUAGCAAGAGCCAAGACUGACAAAUUUCUUUGGCUUUCUCUAGUACCUAUUUUCUAUACUUCCAUUAUCCCAACUCUGAAUUUGGUCUGAAAAUACAUUACAAUUAAUGUCUAACACAAUACAGCUUAUGAUGUGGUUAUAGAUUCCUCAGGGAACAGAAUUAAACCAUCAAACCCAUUUUCGAAGUCUAGGGUGAAAGGUUAAUGGAUUUACUAAAAUGCUAAACAAAGUCAAAGUGGUACCCCUUGGAGAGAGAGAUCAGGAAAAGCAUCAAAUGCUUAUCUGGACAAAUUUUUUCUCCAUUCUGAAAAUAUUCUAAAUAAUGUUAAAGGAACUGCAGAAAAACGAUUGAGGCUAAACAAUUAAAUAAGGAUGAGUCCUUUGUUACUGCCCCCCACUGAGGAUUUCCUAGCAAGUUUGAGUUUUUAUCUUGUUUCUUAGAAGACGUGGAACAGUAGGUCAAUAGCAAGUGUUACCUACAUUUAGCAGAUGGUAGAGAUGAGGCUGCAGAAAACAUGAUAUGCUUAGCUUCUCACCUCAGUGGUAGGAAGAGUGGAUAAUGUGCAGAACCUGGGAAUCCAACUGCAUUCCUCAUGACCUGGACUAUCCUUUCUCUCUCAGAAUUAAAAAUGUAAUAUUGAGGGGGAUACAUAAAAGUUAUAUUCCUUCAGAAAAUGUGGGCUCAAUUAUAGUUGGUGUAGUAGGUUACAUUAUUGUUUAGAAAUAUCAUCCUCCUCUCUACCUCCACAGGUGUAUUCUUCCCUGUGUUUCAGCUUUGGGCUUGCCCAUAUAACUUGCUUUGACCAAUGGGCUGUUGGUAGAUAUGCCAACAGCAAGAGCUUGAAAAGUGCUUGUGCAAUUGUCUUCUUGUGCCUCUGUCAUUGCCAUAAAAAGAGAUUCCUCCGUGUAUCUGUCUGCCCCAGAAUAAAGAUAAGUGGAGCCAACCGGAGCCAAGCCUGCAGCUCAAAGCAGAGCCAUCCAACUGAGUCUAAAUUGGCCAACUCCCACCACCACGCUGACCCAUGAAAAAUAAGCACUUAUUGUUGAAUGGCACUGAGAUCUUAUGGUUGCACAGUAAUAACUGACUAAACAUGAGUAUUAUGUGGUCAAUAGUCCAGGGUCUGAGGAUGGUUGAUUUCAUUUUUGCUUUGUUUCCUGAGCUGGCUUUCCUAU
RNAcentral lists this long non-coding RNA (10525 nucleotides) under Equus caballus (horse). Its description in RNAcentral is "lncRNA (ENSECAG00000046260.1)". Lineage: Eukaryota; Metazoa; Chordata; Mammalia; Perissodactyla; Equidae. The record is from RNAcentral.